UUUCCGUAGGUAAGUUAUCACCACCGAUCCUCGCUCUUCAUGAAAAACAGUCGCUAAUCUGUCUUCCAGGUGAACCUGCGGAAGGAUCAUCACAGUGUCAGGCUUCGGCCUCAUUCACACCCCUUGUUGAACCACUGGUUUCUUUGGCGAUGUCAUGGACUCGUCAAACUUAAACUCUGAAAAUGCGAUACUGUCCGAGUGAGAUUGAAUUAUCAAAACUUUCAACAACGGAUCUCUUGGUUCCAACAUCGAUGAAGAACGCAGC
This 265-nucleotide unclassified non-coding RNA is filed under the name plant metagenome. Its description in RNAcentral is "partial contains internal transcribed spacer 1 and 5.8S ribosomal RNA". The stretch from base 217 to 265 matches the Rfam family "5.8S ribosomal RNA", at positions 1 to 49 of the family's 154-position model. The record is from RNAcentral.